CCUGAGAAACCCAAAAGAUCGAAUUGGGAGAUUCAUCGUCAGCUCAUUUUGUAUAUAUAUAUUUUAUGAUACGAGUUAUUAUUUAACGAUAAUAUUGCUUGUACAUUAAUAUAUAUUUAUUUGCAGGAUGUUGUCGGCGUGCACUUCUUCCAUAGUAGAACGUCGCGACCCGUUGGGCAUUGGUCUACGGCUCAAGUGGUAGUCUUUAAUAAUAAUUUAUUUUUUUAUUAAAGUCCCUUGAUGUUUUCUGACCAAUUACUCGGCGGUACACGUUAAAUGGUAUUAAGCCGGAUAUAUUAAUUUGGGUUUAUUCCCGUCGCAAGGGAGGSSAAUUACUGAUAUUACCGAAMUUAAUUUCGUUUAUCUGGUAUUGGGCAGCUGUUGGUUGUUACGGUGUUCUAAGAAUGGGUUWAA
RNAcentral lists this ribosomal RNA (414 nucleotides) under Canalirogas sp. 3 AZR-2008. RNAcentral describes it as "eukaryotic LSU rRNA". Lineage: Eukaryota; Metazoa; Arthropoda; Insecta; Hymenoptera; Braconidae. The record is from RNAcentral.